This 129-nucleotide ribosomal RNA is filed under the name Oscillospiraceae bacterium. RNAcentral's name for it is "partial 23S ribosomal RNA". It matches the Rfam family "Bacterial large subunit ribosomal RNA", at positions 2800 to 2925 of the family's 2925-position model. The record is from RNAcentral. Lineage: Bacteria; Bacillati; Bacillota; Clostridia; Eubacteriales; Oscillospiraceae.
CAAGAUUAGAUAUCCCUCCUAGCUUGACUAGGUAAGGUCACUUGCAGACUACAAGUUUGAUAGGUCGGAGGUGUACGCACAGUAAUGUGUUUAGCUGACCGAUACUAAUAGACCGAGGGCUUGAACUAU